CAAAGGCUUGGUCCUGACUUUUCUGUCAGCUUUAGCUAGAUUUAUACAUGCAAGUAUCCGCGUCCCCGUGAGAAUGCCCUUGUUUUCCGCCCAGAAACCAAGGAGCUGGUAUCAGGCACAUCCCUUAUUGAGCCCACGACGCCUUGUUCAGCCACACCCCCAAGGGAAUUCAGCAGUGAUAAACCUUAAGCUAUAAGUGAAAACUUGACUUAGUUAAAGCUAAGAGGGCCGGUAAAACUCGUGCCAGCCACCGCGGUUAUACGAGAGGCCCAAGUUGACAGACGCCGGCGUAAAGUGUGGUUAAGGAAAAUUUUAAACUAAAGCCGAACGCCUUCAAGGCAGUCUGAAUGCAUUCGAAGGUACGAAGCCCCACCACGAAAGUGGCUUUAUGACUCCUGAUUCCACGAAAGCUAAGGAACAAACUGGGAUUAGAUACCCCACUAUGCUUAGCCGUAAACAUUGAUAGAAUAUCACACAAAUCUAUCCGCCUGGGUACUACGGGCAUUAGCCUAAAACCCAAAGGACUUGGCGGUUCUUUAGAUCCCCCUAGAGGAGCCUGUUCUGUAACCGAUACUCCCCGUUAAACCUCACCCUCUCUUGUUUUUCCCGCCUAUAUACCGCCGUCGUAAGCUUACCCUGUGAAGGAAAUAUAUAGUAAGCAAAAUCGGCACUGCCCAGAACGUCAGGUCGAGGUGUCGCGCAUGAGAGGGGAAGAAAUGGGCUACAUUCCCUAAUAUUAGCGAUUACACGAAUGAUUGUAAUGAAAACGUACAUCUGAAGGAGGAUUUAGCAGUAAGGGGAAAAUAGAGUGUUCCCCUGAAGCCGGCUCUGAAGUGCGCACAUACCGCCCGUCACUCUCCCCAAGCUCACAAGUUCCACAUAACUAAAAUGCUAUUAAUACGCGAAGGGGAGGCAAGUCGUAACAUGGUAAGUGUACCGGAAGGUGCACUUGGAUAAAUAU
This 961-nucleotide non-coding RNA is filed under the name Hyperoglyphe japonica (Pacific barrelfish). Its description in RNAcentral is "12S rRNA". It matches the Rfam family "Bacterial small subunit ribosomal RNA". The record is from RNAcentral. Lineage: Eukaryota; Metazoa; Chordata; Actinopteri; Scombriformes; Centrolophidae.